UUCCCUCAGACGUUCUUUUAGGGUGGCCU
This 29-nucleotide small RNA is filed under the name Bombyx mori (domestic silkworm). RNAcentral describes it as "ovarian small RNA-9578". The record is from RNAcentral. Lineage: Eukaryota; Metazoa; Arthropoda; Insecta; Lepidoptera; Bombycidae.